GUUGGUGAACCAGCGGAGGGAUCAUUACCGAGUUAUACAACUCCCAAACCCCUGUGAACUUACCUAUAACGUUGCUUCGGCGGGAAACCGACGGCCCCGUAAGACGGGCCGCCCCCGCCAGAGGACCCCCUAACUCUUGUUAUAUCCUGUUUCUCUGAGUACAACAAGCAAAUAAAUUAAAACUUUCAACAACGGAUCUCUUGGCUCUGGCAUCGAUGAAGAACGCAGCGAAACGCGAUAAGUAAUGUGAAUUGCAGAAUUUAGUGAAUCAUCGAAUCUUUGAACGCACAUUGCGCCCGCCAGUAUUCUGGCGGGCAUGCCUGUCCGAGCGUCAUUACAACCCUCAGGCCCCCGGGCCUGGUGUUGGGGAUCGGCGGAGCCCUCCGGGGCACACGCCGUCCCCCAAAUUCAGUGGCGGUCUCGCUGCAGCCUCCAUUGCGUAGUAGCUAACACCUCGCAACUGGAAGGCGGCGCGGCCACGCCGUAAAACCCCCCCAACUUCUGAAUGUUGACCUCGGAUCAGGUAGGAAUACCCGCUGAAC
This 542-nucleotide ribosomal RNA is filed under the name Fusarium virguliforme. RNAcentral's name for it is "eukaryotic LSU rRNA". The stretch from base 181 to 334 matches the Rfam family "5.8S ribosomal RNA". Lineage: Eukaryota; Fungi; Ascomycota; Sordariomycetes; Hypocreales; Nectriaceae. The record is from RNAcentral.